UGCGGCCGUAACACCGGUUGAUCCUGCCGGACCCGACCGCUAUCGGGGUGGGGCUAAGCCAUGGGAGUCGUACGCCCCGCCGCUGCGGGGCGUGGCGAACGGCUGAGUAACACGUGGCUAACCUACCCUCGGGAGGGGGAUAACUCCGGGAAAGGCGGUCCAGACCAGCUUAUAUAGAAACUUUCUUGAUUAUUAGGAGAGAAACAAUGAAUGACUGAUAUUUAGCUGGAUUAAUAGAUGGUGAAGCAUCUUUCAUUAUUGUAUUUAGAAAAGAUAAGAGAUAUCGUGCUGGUAUAUGUGUUGUUACGAGGUUUAGUUUGCCUCAGAAGAACAAAGCUAUUCUAGAGAAAAUAAAGGAUUAUCUUGGUUAUGGUCAAAUAUAUUAUCAUAAUAAGCAUAAAAUGUGGUAUUACGAAAUAACCUCUCGUAAAGAACUACUUGAUUUAACUAAUAGAAUAUGUAAUAAAUUAUUUAUAAAAAAAUAAAUGUAGUAAGUUCAAGUUUAUUCUCGAAAUUCUUAUCAAUAAAAACAAACUCGAUACCCGAGACAUUUAUUUCUUGAAAAAGGUCUGGACCGCCCCCGAAACUGGAGAUAAUCCCCCAUAGGGGAGGAGGCCUGGAAGGGUUCCUCCCCGAAAGGGCUCGGCGGGGGUUAUCGCUGCCGAGCCGCCCGAGGAUGGGGCUGCGGCCCAUCAGGUAGUUGGCGGGGUAACGGCCCGCCAAGCCGAUAACGGGUAGGGGCCGUGAGAGCGGGAGCCCCCAGAUGGGC
Molecule: ribosomal RNA, 769 nt
Filed under: Desulfurococcales archaeon ex4484_58
Lineage: Archaea; Thermoproteati; Thermoproteota; Thermoprotei; Desulfurococcales
Description: bacterial SSU rRNA
Rfam family: Archaeal small subunit ribosomal RNA
Source: RNAcentral